GAUGAAGAACGUAGCGAAAUGCGAUACGUAAUGUGAAUUGCAGAAUUCAGUGAAUCAUCGAAUCUUUGAACGCAUAUUGCGCUCUUUGGUAUUCCGAAGAGCAUGCUUGUUUGAGUAUCAGUAAACACCUCAAAGCUUUUGGAUUUUUUAAUCGAAAAGCUUUGGACUUGAGCAAUCCCAACACCAAUCUUUUUGAGAUCGGUGGCGGGUUGCUUGAAAUGCAGGUGCAGCUGGACAUUCUCCUGAGCUAAAAGCAUAUUCAUUUAGUCCCGUCAAACGGAUUAUUACUUUUGCUGCAGCUAACAUAAAGGGAGUUUGACCGUAUUGGCUGACUGAUGCAGGAUUUCAAAAGGGUCGGCAACGAUUCUUGUUAAACUCGAUCUCAAAUCAAGUAAGACUACCCGCUGAACUUAAGCAUAUCAAUAAGCGGAGGA
Molecule: unclassified non-coding RNA, 434 nt
Filed under: soil metagenome
Description: partial contains 5.8S ribosomal RNA, internal transcribed spacer 2, and large subunit ribosomal RNA
Rfam family: 5.8S ribosomal RNA (bases 1-120)
Source: RNAcentral